CAGACUCCAACACAAACAGAACAAAGACACAAACUGGAUCAGGACAGUUACUGGAACUGGAUCACUGGGACCCGACUGGUUCUGGUUUCCCUCUCUGACUGACUGAAGUUCAGAAGAUGGACUAAAGCAAGACAGGACAGAACCAUCCAGGUCCAACUUCCUGUCAAAGAGAAACAAUCACUGUCAACAAUAUCCUCCAUACUUCACCCUGAAGCCUCAGACAUGAAAGGUCAAAGACAGAGAGCAACUAACUGUCCAUCUGUGAGGAGUGACCAGUCCAUUGAGAAGCCUCCAUUCUUCAGUGAUGAGCCUGGAUCCUCAGACACACAAGGUCGGAACCAAAGACGGAGAGCAGAACCUUCAGCAUCCAAACUGUCCAUCUGUGAGGAGUGACCGGUCCAUUGUCAACCUCCAUUCUUCAGUGAUGAGCCUGGAUCCUCAGAAGGUCAAAGACAGAGAACAACUAACUGUCCAUCUGUGAGGAGUGACCGGUCCAUUGAGAAGCCUCCAUUCUUCAGUGAUGAGCCUGGAU
Long non-coding RNA from Poeciliopsis prolifica (blackstripe livebearer), 532 nucleotides. RefSeq lists it as uncharacterized. The record is from RefSeq and is a predicted model, not a curated record. NCBI's taxonomy places the organism in Eukaryota, Metazoa, Chordata, Actinopteri, Cyprinodontiformes, Poeciliidae. The transcript is spliced from 5 exons.